UACUUAGGGUCGGUACUUGAGGCAACACGCUCGACUAUUCUAUAAUUCUGUCUAGCAACAGUAGAAAGUCGAAUUAACCCAAUAACCCUACUGUAAUUAUACAAUUCUAUAUGGUUUACUUCGUCAUUUGGGUUUUCCUUUUAAAAACCAGGAAAUGACCGAUGUGUUGGGUGUCGAGUCCGGCUUUUUUUU
Molecule: non-coding RNA, 192 nt
Filed under: Megastigmus dorsalis
Lineage: Eukaryota; Metazoa; Arthropoda; Insecta; Hymenoptera; Megastigmidae
Source: RNAcentral